GGCCUGGUGGUCUAGUAGUAUGAUUCGCCCUUAGGGAUACUAAACAAUUUGGGCGAGGUCCCGGGUUCAAUUCCCGGCCAGGCCC
Molecule: non-coding RNA, 85 nt
Organism: Fistulina hepatica ATCC 64428
Lineage: Eukaryota; Fungi; Basidiomycota; Agaricomycetes; Agaricales; Fistulinaceae
Source: the annotation of a GenBank genome assembly